CCUACGGGCGGCAGCAGUGAGGAAUAUUGGUCAAUGGGCGCAAGCCUGAACCAGCCAAGUCGCGUGAGGGAUGACGGUCCUAUGGAUUGUAAACCUCUUUUGUCGGGGAGCAAGGCCCGCCACGUGUGGCGGGAAGGAGAGUACCCGCAGAAAAAGAAUCGGCGUACUCCGUGCCAGCAGCCGCGGUAAUACGGAGGAUGCGAGCGUUAUCCGGAUUUAUUGGGUUUAAAGGGUGCGUAGGCGGAAGGUUAAGUCAGCGGUAAAAUGUCGGUGCUCAACACCGGCCUGCCGGUGAAACUGGUCUUCUUGAGUGAGCGAGAGGUAUGCGGAAUGCGUGGUGUAGCGGUGAAAUGCAUAGAUAUCACGCAGAACUCCGAUUGCGAAGGCAGCAUACCGGCGCUCAACUGACGCUGAGGCACGAAAGCGUGGGGAUCGAACAGGAUUAGAUACCCCUGUAGUC
RNAcentral lists this ribosomal RNA (460 nucleotides) under uncultured bacterium. Its description in RNAcentral is "partial 16S ribosomal RNA". It matches the Rfam family "Bacterial small subunit ribosomal RNA", at positions 338 to 795 of the family's 1533-position model. The record is from RNAcentral.